Molecule: ribosomal RNA, 476 nt
Filed under: Alopias superciliosus (bigeye thresher)
Lineage: Eukaryota; Metazoa; Chordata; Chondrichthyes; Lamniformes; Alopiidae
Description: partial 12S ribosomal RNA
Rfam family: Bacterial small subunit ribosomal RNA
Source: RNAcentral
UAAUUCACUAUAUUGUUCGCCAGAGUACUACAAGCGCUAGCUUAAAACCCAAAGGACUUGGCGGUGUCCCAAACCCACCUAGAGGAGCCUGUUCUGUAACCGAUAAUCCCCGUUAAACCUCACCACUUCUGGCCAUCCCCGUCUAUAUACCGCCGUCGUCAGCUCACCCUAUGAAGGUUAAAAAGUAAGCAAAAAGAACCAACUCCCAUACGUCAGGUCGAGGUGUAGCAAAUGAAGUGGAUAGAAAUGGGCUACAUUUUCUAUAAAGAAAACACGAAUGGUAGACUGAAAAAUUACCUAAAGGUGGAUUUAGCAGUAAGAAAAGAUUAGAGAAUUUCUCUGAAACCGGCUCUGGGACGCGCACACACCGCCCGUCACUCUCCUCAAAAAACCCUACUUAUUUUUAAUUAAAAGAAAAUUACUAAGAGGAGGCAAGUCGUAACAUGGUAAGUGUACUGGAAAGUGCACUUGGAAUC